RNAcentral lists this unclassified non-coding RNA (232 nucleotides) under Hyaloscyphaceae sp. Its description in RNAcentral is "partial contains 5.8S ribosomal RNA, internal transcribed spacer 2, and large subunit ribosomal RNA". Lineage: Eukaryota; Fungi; Ascomycota; Leotiomycetes; Helotiales; Hyaloscyphaceae. The record is from RNAcentral.
CGCACAUUGCGCCCUUUGGUAUUCCGAGGGGCACGCCUGUUCGAGCGUCAUUUCAACCCUCAAGCUCAGCUUGGUCUUGGGCCGCGCCCCCCUGUACGGCGGCGGACCCCAAACUCGUUGGCGGCGUUGGCUCCCCGAGCGUGACAGAAUCACGGUGACGGGGGCGGACGCCCGCUCGAUUUACUUCCUCAAGGUUGACCUCGGAUCAGGCGGGGAUACCCGCUGAACUUAA